RNAcentral lists this ribosomal RNA (253 nucleotides) under uncultured bacterium. RNAcentral's name for it is "partial 16S ribosomal RNA". It matches the Rfam family "Bacterial small subunit ribosomal RNA", at positions 524 to 776 of the family's 1533-position model. The record is from RNAcentral.
UACAGAGGGUGCGAGCGUUGUCCGGAAUCACUGGGCGUAAAGGGCGCGUAGGCGGUCUCUUAAGCGUGUGGUGAAAGCCCGGGGCUCAACUCCGGGUCGGCCGUGCGAACUGGGGGACUGGAGCUUGUCAGAGGCAGGCGGAAUUCCGGGUGUAGCGGUGGAAUGCGUAGAGAUCCGGAAGAACACCGGUGGCGAAAGCGCUCUGCUAGGCCGCAACUGACACUGAGGGACGAAAGCGAGGGGAGCGAAUGGG